RNAcentral lists this long non-coding RNA (3253 nucleotides) under Mus musculus (house mouse). RNAcentral describes it as "predicted gene 5115 (Gm5115)". Lineage: Eukaryota; Metazoa; Chordata; Mammalia; Rodentia; Muridae. The record is from RNAcentral.
AUUGUAAAAGAGGUGUAUGCAGACACACCUGUGAGGCCUCACAGGGUAGAUGAAAGCGUAGAUCUACAGAGGGUGAGUGAUCUCAGGAGAAUCUCCAAAAUGAGGCACCCACUUCACUGUGGAAGAUUUUUAUCAGGAGCAUUAGAGAGCAUACUUGAGAAACAUUAUCUUAGUCAGUGUUCUGUUGUGAAGAGACACCAUGACCAAGGCAGUUCUUACAAAAUAAAACAUUUAAGUAGAGCCUUGCUUACCGUUUCAGAGGCUUAGUCCAACAUCCUCAUGGUGAGAAGCAUGGCAGCACUCAAGCAGACAUGACGCUGGAGCAAUGGCUGAGAGCUGCAUCUGAUUCAUAGACAGAGAGAGAGGGAGAUGGAAAGGGAGAGGGAGAGGGACAGAGACUGGGCCUAGUGUGCAUUUUAAAAGCCUACUCCCAGUGAUACCUUUUGUCCAACAAGGCCACACCUCCUGGUCCUUUAAAAACAAUGCCACUUCCUGAUGACUAAGCCCCACCAUAAAUUUAAGAGAUUAUGUAGAACAGCAUGGGGAAUUUGAAGUGACUGAAAUCCUGACUUACUGCAGCAGGAUCUAGAAGAGGAACUUUACUUAUGUAACCUUGAUGGCCAUGGCAGCGUAGACAUGACUGUCCAGAAAUAUUGUCCUAUUCACAGUCACAGCUGUAAAGUGAGGAAUGCCUCCUGGAAGCAGGGCGUGCCUUGCAUUUCUUCUAGCUGAAGGGGCUGAAAUUGUCCUGGAUACUUUGGUGGUCAGGGGAGCAAGCUUGGAGCUGGGGGCAAGUUUGGUUGUGCAGGAACCAUCACUAGUGAUCAUUACAGCAUCCAUGCUGGCAGUUAAGCUAGAGAAUAUUGUGGCAGCAGGGAUGGCUACAGUGGAUUUGGUAAUGGUAGACACAGUCUUAGAGGUAGUGGAUUUGCCAUUUAUGGUGAUCAGUCUUCAGGCUUUCGAGCCAUGGAGGGUUUCUCUGUGUAGCCUGUCUCCUGUGAUGAUGGAGGCUACUCCUUUGCCAAACCCUGAGACACAAGUGGCUGUGGCACUUCCAGCAGUAGCAGCAGCUGUGGCGCUGGUAGGAUGUUUCCCUUUUGUUUUGGGUUUCGUUUUUUGGCUCUGUCACCUAGGCCAGCCUUACUCUCUCAGUCCUCUCUCCCCAGCCUCCCCCAGUUCUGGGGUCGCAGGCUGGGUCAGAGGAUGUUGGUUACUGCUAGAUACCAGCUUAGCAGAAAGGAAAGAUGGAGAAGUAACGGGAAGACACAGGCUACAAGAGUUUGAGCUCAGCCCAGCACAGGGGUGGCAAGGCCUGGCUGCUCUGGAAAGGACGUGCUUUAGACAGUGUUCAUGUAUGGGCAGGGAGCCCAAAGACUCUCAUGACUGUGUAGCAGCCAUUUUAAUUGCUGUUCUGUGGAAAGUUACUCCAGAACAUUCAAAAAAGGGCCUUUAAAGUAGUUGACUGUUUGCCCCUCCAUGCUGUUGAUUGUUGAUAUAAAUGAUGCGGCAUUGAAUAAAUAUGUCCUUAAACAUAAUUUUUAUUUAAAGAUGCCUAAAUUAGGGGUAUGGCUUAGUGGAAGAGUACUUGCCUAGCAAGCAAGCGGUGGUGAGAUUGUUCUCCAGCACUGCCAAGUCAAUUCGAAACCCAAACACAUGACCGAAAACAAACCCGAUGUCUUUAGCGGGGCAAUGAUCUUCAGUACAGUGGGAGCCCCUGGUAGAAAACUUGAGUACAGGAAUGCUGACGGGUCUCCUGUUAGGGUGGGCCUGCUCUGUAGCUCAGAAACUGUUAUGUCCACUUGAAACUGUUUUCAGAUUUUAGGAAAACAGUGAAAGGUUAUAAUGCUGACAGUGAUGUGUAGUUAUAGACAAUGAGAAAGUUAACUUGAUGCUAGUUGUACAACCAUCUAAUAAAUUUAAAAUAGUUAAAAUGAUAAAAUCUGUGUUGUUUAUAUUUUACUACAUAAAUAUACUAGCAUUGUUUAUAGUUUGGAGAGAUUUCAAGUCUAUUUUUUUCGUUUUGUUUUGUUGUUUUUGUUUUUUUGAGACAGGGUUUCUCUGUGUAGCCGUGGCUGUCCUGGAACUCACUCCGUAGACCAGGCUGGCCUCGAACUCAGAAAUUCGCCUGCCUCUGCCGCCCAAGCUAUUUUUUUCUAUUAAGUAACAAAAAAAUGAAUAGGCUUUCUCUGAAAAUUUGUUUCCUAAAGAGAGUUCCCAGGUAACAAUUUUAGAUUUUUUUUUUUUAUAAUUAUAUUUUCAUCAAAUGAAGCUGCCACUUGUCCUUCUUGUCUGCUUUGUAAGCAUGUUUUCCUUAAGCACAGAAGCAGGCAAGCAGGCAAAUGGCCCCUGCGGGGCGGCCAUGGGUGAAGCACAUGAGUAGAUUCUGCCUGCAGAUGCUGUCAACAGAUCAACUCACUUUUGUAGAAGAAACAAAGUAAGAGGGUUCUGUAGUCAUCCAGUGAGAUUGUGAUUCUUUCAGAUAACCAGAAUAAUAAGUUAAUCAAAGAUCAUUUCUAGAUAUACAUUUAUUAGAAAAAUUAAUUUGAACCUAAGUAGGAUAUUUUACAAAAUAAAAUAAAACUAAAUGCAUGAAAAGCUUAAUUAAUUAAUUAGUUAAUUAAUUAAUUUUAAAACCAUUAUUUUGCUUUAUUCCUCAUCCCUGUUUCUCCAUUGAGUUUGAACUGAAACUGUGAUUCUGUAAGCUCACUCGGGGAAACUGGUUGAUGUGUAUCUCUUCUCUUGCUAAGAGCUCCGCAUUGGGCUGUGUUUUCCUUGUUAUCUGGGCUGUCAGGGGGUUGAGCUUUGGGGAGAUUUCAGAUCAGACAAAAUGGCUUACCAACAUGACAUAAUUUAAAAAAUUAUUGUUUCUAUACACUCUUAUACUUAUUAAUAUCCUAUCUAGUCUUCAUUAAGAGUUUCAUUUAUUUAUCUUUUACACUUAUUAUGUGUGUGCAUUUGUGUGCGCGUGCGUGUGUGUGUGUGUGUGUGUGUGUGUUCCUGUGGAGGUCAGAGGGCAACUUGAAGGGGAGUCAGUUUUCUCUUCAAUAAUUUUCUAUACCAAAGUUCUAUAUAUUAGUAGUGAACAAUUUAAAAGUGCAAUGAAAAAAAGAAACAAUUCCAUUUUGAUCUAUUACUAGGAUUAAAAAAAAAUAGAACACUCGAGAGGCAGAGGCAGGCGGAUUUCUGAGUUGGAGGCCAUCCUGGUCUACAAAGUGAGUUCCAGGACAGCCAGGGCUACACAAGAAACCCUGUC